Molecule: ribosomal RNA, 484 nt
Filed under: uncultured bacterium
Lineage: Bacteria
Description: partial 16S ribosomal RNA
Rfam family: Bacterial small subunit ribosomal RNA
Source: RNAcentral
AUUGAACGCUGGCGGCAUGCUUUACACAUGCAAGUCGAACGGCAGCGCGGGCUUCGGCCUGGCGGCGAGUGGCGAACGGGUGAGUAAUACAUCGGAACGUGCCCAGUAGUGGGGGAUAGCUCGGCGAAAGCCGGAUUAAUACCGCAUACGACCUGAGGGUGAAAGCGGGGGAUCUUCGGACCUCGCGCUAUUGGAGCGGCCGAUGGCAGAUUAGCUAGUUGGUGGGGUAAAGGCCUACCAAGGCGACGAUCUGUAGCUGGUCUGAGAGGACGACCAGCCACACUGAGACUGAGACACGGCCCAGACUCCUACGGGAGGCAGCAGUGGGGAAUUUUGGACAAAGGGCGAAAGCCUGAUCCAGCAAUGCCGCGUGUGUGAUGAAGGCCUUCGGGUUGUAAAGCACUUUUGGCGGGAACGAAAAGGACUGUGCCAAUACCACGGUUCGAUGACGGUACCCGCAGAAUAAGCACCGGCUAACUACGUG